ACUACUAAACCAUCCGCGAGGAUGGGGACGGAAAAGCCACAGGAUCUCCAGAAGACAGCCGGGUCGCCGAA
RNAcentral lists this small RNA (71 nucleotides) under Geotalea uraniireducens Rf4. RNAcentral describes it as "GEMM RNA". The record is from RNAcentral. Lineage: Bacteria; Pseudomonadati; Thermodesulfobacteriota; Desulfuromonadia; Geobacterales; Geobacteraceae.